Molecule: ribosomal RNA, 497 nt
Filed under: uncultured bacterium
Lineage: Bacteria
Description: partial 16S ribosomal RNA
Rfam family: Bacterial small subunit ribosomal RNA
Source: RNAcentral
GAUGAACGCUGGCGGCGUGCCUAAUACAUGCAAGUCGAGCGAACAGACGAGGAGCUUGCUCCUCUGACGUUAGCGGCGGACGGGUGAGUAACACGUGGAUAACCUACCUAUAAGACUGGGAUAACUUCGGGAAACCGGAGCUAAUACCGGAUAAUAUAUUGAACCGCAUGGUUCAAUAGUGAAAGACGGUUUUGCUUUCACUUAUAGAUGGAUCCGCGCCGCAUUAGCUAGUUGGUAAGGUAACGGCUUACCAAUGCAACGAUGCGUAGCCGACCUGAUAGGGUGAUCGGCCACACUAGAACUGAGACGAGGUCCAGACUCCUACGGGAGGCAGCAGUAGGGAAUCUUCCGCAAUGGGCGAAAGCCUGACGGAGCAACGCCGCGUGAGUGAUGAAGGUCUUCGGAUCGUAAAACUCUGUUAUUAGGGAAGAACAAAUGUGUAAGUAACUAUGCACGUCUUGACGGUACCUAAUCAGAAAGCCACGGCUAACUACGUG